Molecule: transfer RNA, 59 nt
Filed under: Apaloderma vittatum (bar-tailed trogon)
Lineage: Eukaryota; Metazoa; Chordata; Aves; Trogoniformes; Trogonidae
Rfam family: tRNA
About the family: Transfer RNA (tRNA) molecules are approximately 80 nucleotides in length.
Source: Rfam by way of RNAcentral
UAGCUCAGUCGGUUAGAGCGUGAUGCUGAUAACACCAAGGCCGUGGGUUCGAUCCCCAU